Nyctereutes procyonoides (raccoon dog) is the source of this 376-nucleotide long non-coding RNA. RefSeq lists it as uncharacterized. NCBI's taxonomy places the organism in Eukaryota, Metazoa, Chordata, Mammalia, Carnivora, Canidae. The transcript is spliced from 3 exons. The record is from RefSeq and is a predicted model, not a curated record.
CAGGACCAGUGGGCAAUAUUUAUUUUUAGCUUCAUGGUCAAGAGGUCAACAUCGUUUCAAGACAAUAGGAUCCAUAAGGCACAUGCUCUCGGGCUACCAUCCUCAGUUUCCUAUAAUUGAGGGGAGCAACAGGUUGUGAAGAGUGACGACAUCAAGGGACACAACCAUGGACCUUCAGCAGAGAGAUCCAGCCAUCCACCAGGGCCAAACUGGGCCAGGGCCUCUGCCUCAGGAGGCACAGAGAAACCUGCAGAAUUUCCUAAAGGGGCAGCCAGUUAUUAUUGGGGUGAGCCAAAUCAUGAUUGGCCUAAUGAAUAUUUGCCUGUGGAUUAUGGUAAAAGUCUUCCUUUCAUUCCAUAAACUACAUCUAUUCCUA